GUUGAUAAGGUUAAGUGAAUAAGGGCGCACGGUGGAUGCCUUGGCACUAGGAGCCGAUGAAGGACGGGACUAACACCGAUAUGCUUUGGGGAGCUGUACGUAAGCUAUGAUCCAGAGAUUUCCGAAUGGGGGAACCCAGCAUCUUUAAUAGGAUGUUACGAUUGUGUGAAUACAUAGCACAUUCGAGGUAGACGCAGAGAACUGAAACAUCUAAGUACCUGCAGGAAGAGAAAGAAAAUUCGAUUCCCUGAGUAGCGGCGAGCGAAACGGGAAAAGCCCAAACCAACAAGCUUGCUUGUUGGGGUUGUAGGACUCCAAUAUGGUCGUUCUUUCAGAUAGUCGAAUGACUUGGAAAAGUCAGUCAAAGAGGGUAAAAACCCCGUAGACGAAAUGUGGAAGACACCUAGGAGGAUCCUGAGUACGGCGGAACACGAGAAAUUCCGUCGGAAUCCGGGAGGACCAUCUCCCAAGGCUAAAUACUCCCUAGUGACCGAUAGUGAACCAGUACCGUGAGGGAAAGGUGAAAAGCACCCCGGAAGGGGAGUGAAAUAGAACCUGAAACCGUGUGCCUACAACAAGUCAAAGCCCGUUAAUGGGUGAUGGCGUGCCUUUUGUAGAAUGAACCGGCGAGUUACGAUUGCAUGCGAGGUUAAGUUGAAGAGACGGAGCCGCAGCGAAAGCGAGUCUGAAUAGGGCGUUUGAGUAUGUAGUCGUAGACCCGAAACCAUGUGAUCUACCCAUGUCCAGGUUGAAGGUGCGGUAAAACGCACUGGAGGACCGAACCCACGUACGUUGAAAAGUGCGGGGAUGAGGUGUGGGUAGCGGAGAAAUUCCAAACGAACUUGGAGAUAGCUGGUUCUCUCCGAAAUAGCUUUAGGGCUAGCCUCGGAAUUGAGAAUGAUGGAGGUAGAGCACUGUUUGGACUAGGGGCCCAUCUCGGGUUACCGAAUUCAGAUAAACUCCGAAUGCCAUUCAUUCAUAUCCGGGAGUCAGACUGUGAGUGAUAAGAUCCAUAGUCGAAAGGGAAACAGCCCAGACCACCAGCUAAGGUCCCAAAAUAUAUGUUAAGUGGAAAAGGAUGUGGGGUUGCACAGACAACUAGGAUGUGGGCUUAGAAGCAGCCACCAUUUAAAGAG
This 1136-nucleotide ribosomal RNA is filed under the name Mediterraneibacter torques. RNAcentral's name for it is "[Ruminococcus] torques partial 23S ribosomal RNA". It matches the Rfam family "Bacterial large subunit ribosomal RNA", at positions 1 to 1130 of the family's 2925-position model. The record is from RNAcentral. Lineage: Bacteria; Bacillati; Bacillota; Clostridia; Lachnospirales; Lachnospiraceae.